AAUCAACAAGCCCUGUUGCUUCAGCAACUUAUACAGCUGUCUGGACAAGGUCAAAGGCAACCAUUUAUCCAGGUUAACACAAACAGCUCUAACAGCAGUAGCAGAACCACCCAACAAGCUGAAAAAGCUCAAAUUUACUCGUACAAAGUUAAAAUAAUAAAUCCUCUCAAAAAGAGUGAUGUUAUCACCUGUGAGUUACAUCAUUUUAACAGCAAGUUUGAAUCGGUUCUCUCUCUAAGAAUGAAGUUAAUUGAACAUUUAAAAGAACACGUUCCUAGUACUGUUGAUUUUAAUAUUAUGAAGGUCAACAACAUACCAAAGUAUUGGUUGUCACUCCUGAUGACCUCACGUUGAUGUACACCAAGUUUUCAGGAGGACACCUCACUCUAUGGUGUGAUGGAAAGUUAGAUGAAGCAGGAAAGAAGCGAAAAAGGGAUGAUGUGGAUCCAAAAACAAAGCGGCAAGAGAAAGAGGAAGAUGUUGACUCUAUUUUCAAAGAUCUCAAACGUAGGCAUGACAGCAAAUUUGACACACCCAAACUUCGCCUAUGGGCAAGGAUGAUAUGCUCCAAACUGCAUGAUGAUUAUGAUAAGCCUCCAGAUAUCCCUGCUUUUUCUGGUGUUGUGCCAAAAAGGCCUAGGAGAGAGAGCCUCGGUGAUGCUCUUUCAGAUGUAGCUGUAGCCUCGAUCCCAGGCCGAGUUUUCGCUUUUAUAACGGUUAGGCGAACAACUGGGCCUGGUACUAGUUGUCUGCGCAUGCGUCAGUCGUUCGUCAGAUUCUGACGAAUGGAUAUUCUCGUUCACUUUCGUGACAUUUAUAUUUGUGUACUAUCGUGUACUAGAAGUCAGUUCCCGUUUUAUCAUUAUUGGAAUCGAUUGGAAUCGAUUGGAAUGGCUCUUAGCUGAAGCUUCUCUCUUCUCUGAAGCUUAUUCUGAAGACUGAACAACAAGGGAAGAGGUAUAAAGCUUUGUCAAGCUUGUUAAGGUCAGAUAUUUUUGUGUGGGCCCUAUGGCCGGCUAUGCUAUCAAGUCUUGUUCAUGUUUGGCAAGAAUGUAGGUAGACUAUAGUUUCAUCAUUAAUAUGGUGGAUCAAGUGAAGAGUGUGAGCUAGAGAACUUGGUGCUGCCAUCAUCAGCUCGUCGACAAUGACACUAUAAUCGAGAAAUUUCUACACAUAUUUAAAAUGUCUACUUCUCUGUACAGGAGCAAUGGCUAAUAUCCAGCUGUCCCAACAGUGCUCCUCUUGGCUAUACUAACGGACGAGACUGGACAGUUUGAGACACAGGACUGGAGUAUGACCUGCUCAUUCGAGCGUUGCUGGGUAGCUCAGAGACAUCAAGAGAAUCUACGUUUUCUCAAGCAAUGAGUUACGAGUUGGGGCCUAGAAUCAGAGAAGUCCAGCAGCCUGCUAAAUCUUUUUGAAACGUAAUUUGAAGGCAUUCAAUCAUCCUGAAGUUGCCCUGGGUCACUGUAAUUGUGCUGCAGCACAACUGGCAACUCCCCAGGCCUUUGUGAAGCAGCUCCCUAUGUGCAUCUUUUGUGUACUCACUCUGUGCAUUUUCUGUGUACAAAUUUCUAUUAUUGAUUUAUUAAAUA
Molecule: long non-coding RNA, 1595 nt
Organism: Halichondria panicea
Lineage: Eukaryota; Metazoa; Porifera; Demospongiae; Suberitida; Halichondriidae
Exons: 3
Source: RefSeq, a predicted model, not a curated record